UCAGAGGGGUAGAGAAGACCAGAGAGAAGAGACCUGAAAGGUGGUCUUCCUCUGCAUCUCUCUCUAGGAAUACUCAAGCUUUAUAGAUUUUAGAGAGAGAAAGAGGAGGUACUUCUCUCAGAAGCUGCACUGAAUUUAGCAAAAAAUAAUACUCCUCCUACUUGCUCCAUUGCUUCUACUUCACUCCCUCCCAGCUUUGCACAAAACUGUCUCUCCCCCCCCCCCCCCCCUUCUCUCUCUCUCUCUCUCUCUCUCUCUCUCAAUAUCUCCAAUCUUUCCUGGUUUCCUAAAAAGAGUCAAGAAAACCCUUUUCUCUAUUACCUCAGUCUUCCUCUGCUUUGGCAAUCCUCCUUUAAAUCAGCUAAAACAAAAUCACCAACCAUUCAAUUUAGCAAAAGUAAGAGAAUCUGAACAAAACCCUGUUGCAGACUUUCCCGGAAGAUGGAGAAUUUUUCCGGGAAAAAGCGACCCACAAUCAGUAUCUCACUUUUCACUACUUUUUCCGAGUCAAUUUCCUCUGACAAGUUCCCCAAGUCAAUCAAAUCCCCAAGAAAUUUCCAAGAUGGGGUUGUUGGGCUUGGAAUAGUGGCUGCCAUGACUGAUUUGGGCAGCCCCAAUGAAGUGGCUUUGUCUGAAAAGUCACCAAGGUCGAGCCCAAUCCCCAUAGUCUCUGCAGCUAAGCCUGCAGCUAAUUUCAGAAGUGGGUUUUGUGUGGAGAGGGCUGGGGCUGUGGUGGAUGAAUUGUCUGAGAGCUAUACGUGUGUGAUUUCGCAUUUCGGAAACAAUUUGACAUCGAAGCGGGUUUAUCGGUGAUAAGCUGAGUGGGGUUGUGGAUGAUCCUAAUGCUGGUAUGGUGGUGGCCUCUGGGGUGUUCUCUACUUCUCCAUUGAGUAUUGGUGAAGUGGGAAGAGAGUUUUGGGCUUCCGAUUUUCUCAGUUGUUGUUAUCUUUGCAAGAAGCAGCUUCAUGGACUGGACAUUUUCAUGUACAGAGGUGAGAAAGCAUUUUGCAGCGCCGAGUGCCGUGACAAGCACAUGCGCAGCGACCAUCAUAAAGACAAGUGCAGAUCCGGAGCAUUAAAAUCGCUUGAUUACUCAGCGUCGCCGUGCUCUCGUCCGCUCGUCUUCUUGGCCGGGGUUGAGGUGGCAUGAAAGUUUUCCUAUACCGAACCUAUAUAGUAAAUAAUACAAAAAGGACGGGAAAGGUGAUGGGAAUAAAUUGGGUAUAACCGGGAUAAGACGGUAGAAAAAUACCGGACAGGGUUCAAGCAGGCAGUCUCUACAGUCUACAAUUUAAAUUGCAAGAAUUUUUUUUAUUAGAUUGGACAAGUUGUAUUGAGAAAUUGGCAAGUUAUAUAAUCCGUGGGAGAGACAUUUAUACAAUAAUGUUACUGCUUUUCAAAAGUUUCAGUUGUACAAUGGUAAUUUGGAUUGGAUCAAGUUAGUUAUAAUAUUUA
Malus domestica (apple) is the source of this 1455-nucleotide non-coding RNA. The record is from RefSeq and is a predicted model, not a curated record. Lineage: Eukaryota; Viridiplantae; Streptophyta; Magnoliopsida; Rosales; Rosaceae.